Molecule: non-coding RNA, 3002 nt
Organism: Equus caballus (horse)
Lineage: Eukaryota; Metazoa; Chordata; Mammalia; Perissodactyla; Equidae
Source: RefSeq, a predicted model, not a curated record
CCUGUGAACCCUGGGCCAGCAAAGCAGAGUGUGUGAACUUAACCACCACGCCACCAGGCUGGCCCCUUGUUCUUGUUUCUUAUUUACUAGUAUACCCUGGAGAUCCAUCAUACCGUAUCAGCACACAGAGAGCAUUCUCAUUCUUUAUUUCCAAACACAGAGUACCCUAUUAUCUAUUUAUAUAUACAUCUCCUACUUUAUUUAACCAGUCGACUCCAGAAGGACGUUGGGUUGUUUCCAGCUCUUUGGUCGGCUAAACACGCUGCAACGAAUAACCUUAUAUAUGCAUGAUUUUACGUACAUUUAGGAUACAUUUCCGGAAGUGGAAUUGCUGGGUCAAAUUGUAUAUGUGUUUGUGAUUCUGAUAGAUAUUGCCAGAUUGUCCUCCAUGGGGGUGAUGGCCAUUUGUGCUCCCACGGGUAACGAGUGAGAGUGUCUGUGUCCCCAGGGCUGGUUCGUGUUCUGAAGAACCCUCGAGUGGAGACUAUCCCAUUCAACAUCAACUUGGUAGGAGAGACUAGCCUCUUUUACUCCUUAUUUCCCUAUCACUCUGCGACCUUUCACUUCUUGCCUCCAGCUGGCUGCAAGAUUGCAGCCAAGUUAUUUAAGCACUUGUGCCUUGGUUUCUCCAUCUGUAAAAUGGGGCUAUAAGAGUACCUACAGCCUAUGGUAGUUGGGAGAGUUCCAUGAGCUAAUGCACACAAAGCGUGGAACACGGUUCAGACAAAGUAACUGCUUAGAAAUGCUGUCUGUUAUUACGUGGGUCAAAUAAAUAAUGCCACUUAGAGAUUGCGCCAUCUCUGUCUCUAUUAGGCCACUGUGUGCUAACAUCUAUGUUAUAAAACUACAAGGGCACCGAACAUUUUCUUGGAGGAAGACGAAUCUUGGUUCCAGGAAAGAAUGGGAAAACCAACCAUUGGGAAGGAUGGGGAAGUGAGAAGUGACCUGGAUAGAGCUGCUGCAUACAGCUGUACAGUGUGUGCACUGCACAAAGGCCUCUACUAAAGGGGCUCUUAUUCUCACAUGGACUUCAGGACUGGUCCCUCCUAAGGAAUGUGAAAAAGAAGCGUUCGGAUUCCAGGCUGCUCAUAAAUCUGCCUUCUGUGUUAUCAUUUUUUACCUGCCUACUUCUGUUUCUCCUGGGUUCGAAGGAAGUGCUUUACUUUAGAAAUGAUUCACUACCCCUGGGCCACCGACGGCUUUGAAAGCCACACGAGACAAGUUCCAUUUCAAACCCCCCGAUUUAUAAUCAUGGGGGAAAGCUGGCUGUUGUCUUGAGGGUUGUCCACGAUCUCACAAACCCAACCUUUGUUCCUCAUGUGCCCAUUUUUCAAAAACUUACUACUCAAAUCUCUGAAAGUCAUCGCCCCCGAGGAAACGUUUAUCUUUGGUUGGACAUCUUUUGCGCUGUAUCCCUUUUCAACUGUCCUUUCUAAUAUAGGAUAAAUGGCUCUGCGGGGUUUGGAGUGAAGAGUUACGUCUUGCAGCAUGUUUGUGAGUGUGUAGAAACCCUACUCCCCUCCCCUCUGCCCCUGGGCCAGAGAUGGGGGAAUAACCAGUUAAGACAAAUGGGUUUGGGCGAUGUUGUGGGUUGAACUGUGUCCCUCAAAAUUCAUGUUGAAGUCCUCACUCCCAGAACGUCAGAAUGUGGUCUUAUUUGGAGAUCGGGCUGUUGCAGAUGUAAUUAGUUAAGAUGAGGUCAUACUGGAGUAGGGUGAGCCUCUAAUCCGUUAUAACUGGUGUCUUUAUAAAAAGGGAAACUUUGGAGACAGACAUGGAUGGAGGGACAUUGCCAUGUGAAGAUGAAGGCAGAGAUCUACAAGUCAAGGAAUGCCUAAGACUGCCAGCAAGACGUCAGAAGCUAGGAGAGAGGCAUGGACACUUUCCCUCACCGCCCCCAGAAGGAACCAACCCUGCCGGUGGCCCCUUGAUUUCAAACUUCCAGCCUCCAGAACUGGGAGAUAAUGAAUCUCUGCUGUUUAAGUCACCCCAUUCGUGGCUGUUUGUUAUGGCAGCCACAUGGAAACGGAGGUGUUUACGAUGUUCGUCUAAAGGUCAGUAUUUGCUUGGGAGGCAAUAUAACAUAGUGGCUAAGUACUCGGGUUUUUAGAACCAGACACCUUAAGUUUGAAUUCCCAGUUGCAUAAACUGGGAGAAUUAUUUACCAUCUCAGAGUUCCACUUUCCUCAAAAUAAAAUGGGGCGUAAUAGAGAUUGACUUGAUAGUGCUGUCACGAGGAUUAAAUAAGAUAACGUAUUUAAAGCAGUAAGCCCAAUAUCUGGCCCAUGGUAAGCAUCUGAUGAGUGACAGUUAUUGUUACAGUUAUUAUCAGCAAGAAUUGGCAACAUUUACCAAGUCUGAAAGACACCUCGGCUACUUAGAAUUUAAAAAUUUCUGCUUGGACCACACUUAAUCGAUGGUUGAAACUUCCCCCGGUCUGACCCCUGCUCUCAAGGCUAAUGGCCUGGGGCUGUUUGCCAUCUCUGUUUCCUCUCAGGGAUUUGAUCUCUCUCUGUCAAAUAGGGCUUGUCAUAAUUGACACACAAGAAGAUCCACUUGCCAUUUAAACAAGUAAAAUUAAGAUGGUUCUAGAAACUGGGUGAGAAUUCAGAGUGACCAAACAGUUACCGAGAUCACGUAUUCAUUCACGUUCAAACAACAUGUAUCUAUUGAACGCCAGUGGACUCAGCGCAGGCUCUGACUCAGAAUGGGUUGUUUCUCCUGUGAACAGAGGGAGGGGUGCAGCACAAUGGUCACGCCACCGAGACUGCCACUCCAUGAAACAUAUUCCAGGUACUGGGCACUGCCUUAGAGCCGCUACCCUUUAAAAUUCUUUGAGGUUAGAUAGUGUUAUCACCCCCAUUUUACAGAUAAGGAAACUGAGGCACAGAGUGAUUAAGUAACUUGCUUGAGGCCAUGAGUAGUUAUUGGAAGAAUGAGGGUUUGAACCCAAAUCUCUCAGACUCCAAAGCCCUUUUGUUAAUGUGUGUGUGUGUGUGUGU